UACGGAGGGGACUAGCGUUGUUCGGAAUUAAUGGGCGUAAAGCGAGCGUAGGCGGACUAUUAAGUCAGGGGUGAAAUCCCGGGGCUCAACCCCGGAACUGCCCUUGAUACUGGUAGUCUGGAGUUCUUGAGAGGUGAGUGGGAUUCCGAGUGUAGAGGUGAAAUUCGUAGAUAUUCGGAGGAACACCAGUGGCGAAGGCGGCUCACUGGCUCGAUACUGACGCUGAGGUUCGAAAGCGUGGGGAGCAAACAGG
Molecule: unclassified non-coding RNA, 253 nt
Filed under: uncultured Rhodobacterales bacterium
Lineage: Bacteria; Pseudomonadati; Pseudomonadota; Alphaproteobacteria; Rhodobacterales
Description: contains 16S-23S intergenic spacer region
Rfam family: Bacterial small subunit ribosomal RNA
Source: RNAcentral